Molecule: ribosomal RNA, 227 nt
Filed under: uncultured bacterium
Lineage: Bacteria
Description: partial 16S ribosomal RNA
Rfam family: Bacterial small subunit ribosomal RNA
Source: RNAcentral
CUGAACCAGCCAAGUAGCGUGAAGGAUGUCUGCCCUAUGGGUUGUAAACUUCUUUUAUACGGGAAUAAAGUGAGGCACGUGUGCCUUUUUGUAUGUACCGUAUGAAUAAGGAUCGGCUAACUCCGUGCCAGCAGCCGCGGUAAUACGGAGGAUCCGAGCGUUAUCCGGAUUUAUUGGGUUUAAAGGGAGCGUAGGCGGACGCUUAAGUCAGUUGUGAAAGUUUGCGG